RNAcentral lists this ribosomal RNA (622 nucleotides) under Porpidia melinodes. RNAcentral's name for it is "LSU rRNA". It matches the Rfam family "Eukaryotic large subunit ribosomal RNA", at positions 30 to 667 of the family's 3401-position model. The record is from RNAcentral. Lineage: Eukaryota; Fungi; Ascomycota; Lecanoromycetes; Lecideales; Lecideaceae.
UGACUUAAGCAUAUCAAUAAGCGGAGGAAAAGAAACCAACAGGGAUUGCCUCAGUAACGGCGAGUGAAGCGGCAACAGCUCAAAUUUGAAAUCUGACCCCUUCGGGGCCCGAGUUGUAAUUUGUAGAGGAUGCUUCGGGUGCGGCGCCGGUCUAAGUUCCUUGGAACAGGACGUCAUAGAGGGUGAGAAUCCCGUAUGCGACCGGCGGUCAACCCCAUGUGAAGCCCCUUCGACGAGUCGAGUUGUUUGGGAAUGCAGCUCAAAAUGGGUGGUAAAUUUCAUCUAAAGCUAAAUACCGGCCAGAGACCGAUAGCGCACAAGUAGAGUGAUCGAAAGAUGAAAAGCACUUUGGAAAGAGAGUCAAACAGUACGUGAAAUUGUUGAAAGGGAAGCGCUUGCAACCAGACCUGCCCCCGGGCGAUCAGCCGUUAUUUUUAGCGGUGCACUCGUCCGCGAUCAGGCCAGCAUCGGUUCGGGCGGCCGGAUAAAGGCCUCGGGAAUGUAGCUCCCCCCGGGGAGUCUUAUAGCCCGAGGUGCAAUGCGGCCAGCCCGGACCGAGGACCGCGCUUCGGCUAGGAUGCUGGCGUAAUGGUUGUAAGCGACCCGUCUUGAAACACGGACC